CACUGACCAACAGCAAUGCUGCAGCCAAACCCAAGCUUCCAUCAAGCCAAAUUCAAAUACUGUAUAGUUGGCCCUCCUUACUGCAUCCUCAGAUUCAACAAUUUUUUUAAAGCAAUAUCUACAUAAAGUGAAGCACAGGAAAAGAAAGUAUGCCUGUAUCGGCUCCCAAUCUAGGAAAAGGUAAGACAAGCGAUUAGGUGAAUCCCAUGAGUCAAAUGUAGCUGAAUUAGGAAGACUAAAUCAGAGGAAAUAAAGCAUAAACCAUUUAAAUCAAAAUCAGAAUAAUAGUAAAAAUUUGAAAUAUAUUUGUUUUCAUGGAGCUAGCUGGGGGAAUGCAUCAAUCAUGGUUCUUCUUUAAUUUUUUUAAUGUUUUAUGAUACUUUGACAUCUUGAGGUCUUGCAGAUCCAGGCAGGGACUGCCCCUCCUAGAAUUAGCCAUUUCCUAGAGAUGGCAAACAUGGUGUCCGUGAGCAUCUUUUUGGCAAGCAAACUGACCAAUCCUGAGUCCAUACUCCCUUUAUAUGUCCCUUUAUCAGGUUUUGCAGUCAGGGACAGUAUGCCCCUUUCCUACAUCACCACAGGAUCAGGUACCAAACAUCUAAGGACUACCUCCAAAGCCCAGAAUCAUCUAUAGUAAUUCAAAGUAUCUCCUUCUAAGCUGGCUCAGCAUACCUACCCUGCCUCACUUACUUCUUCCCACAAAAAUAAUACAAUAAAAGCUCUGGUCCAUCCUCUCACUCCUCUUACUUCAUGACCAACUCUGGUGGUUUCCCAGGUGGCUAUGCAUGGCAUCACAUGGUAUACCGUCUUCUCUUGGGAACUGUGAGUAACAAAUUAUCUUCUCAAUGGCAGUAGCCUCAUAAUCUGUUUGCUUGCCAUUCCUGAAUAAAAGUGAAAUCCUAGAUACAUUUAAAACAAGGUGCCUUUCUCAUAUCUCUUAGAAAUAGCAGGUAAGCAAUCCUAUGUCAUAUCUUCUGCC
RNAcentral lists this long non-coding RNA (979 nucleotides) under Homo sapiens (human). RNAcentral describes it as "HSALNT0180123". Lineage: Eukaryota; Metazoa; Chordata; Mammalia; Primates; Hominidae. The record is from RNAcentral.